UCAGACAUGGUGUAGUGGGAACACAGCCUCUUCUUCCGAGUGAGAUACCUCCACGUUCCACAGGCAAUCCAGGGUUUGAAUCCCUAUGUCUGAA
Molecule: non-coding RNA, 94 nt
Organism: Mycena vulgaris
Lineage: Eukaryota; Fungi; Basidiomycota; Agaricomycetes; Agaricales; Mycenaceae
Source: the annotation of a GenBank genome assembly